This 215-nucleotide ribosomal RNA is filed under the name uncultured fungus. RNAcentral describes it as "partial small subunit ribosomal RNA". The stretch from base 91 to 215 matches the Rfam family "Eukaryotic small subunit ribosomal RNA", at positions 742 to 864 of the family's 1831-position model. The record is from RNAcentral. Lineage: Eukaryota; Fungi.
GAAUGCGUUUGAUCAAAGCUCGUCCUUGUGGCGUGGCUCGGUUGGCGCUUCCUAUCUUCCGAUAGUAGGAGUGUGGCAACACAUUUCCGCUUCGGAUCAUUUACUUUGAAAAAAUUAGAGUGUUCAAAGCAGGCGUACCUUGCCAUUGAAUAUUACAGCAUGGGAUAAUAGAAUAUGACGUUGGUCUUAUUUUGUUGGUUUCUAAGGCUGAUGUA